RNAcentral lists this ribosomal RNA (2919 nucleotides) under Staphylococcus aureus. RNAcentral's name for it is "23S ribosomal RNA". It matches the Rfam family "Bacterial large subunit ribosomal RNA". Lineage: Bacteria; Bacillati; Bacillota; Bacilli; Caryophanales; Staphylococcaceae. The record is from RNAcentral.
GAUUAAGUUAUUAAGGGCGCACGGUGGAUGCCUUGGCACUAGAAGCCGAUGAAGGACGUUACUAACGACGAUAUGCUUUGGGGAGCUGUAAGUAAGCUUUGAUCCAGAGAUUUCCGAAUGGGGAAACCCAGCAUGAGUUAUGUCAUGUUAUCGAUAUGUGAAUACAUAGCAUAUCAGAAGGCACACCCGGAGAACUGAAACAUCUUAGUACCCGGAGGAAGAGAAAGAAAAUUCGAUUCCCUUAGUAGCGGCGAGCGAAACGGGAAGAGCCCAAACCAACAAGCUUGCUUGUUGGGGUUGUAGGACACUCUAUACGGAGUUACAAAGGACGACAUUAGACGAAUCAUCUGGAAAGAUGAAUCAAAGAAGGUAAUAAUCCUGUAGUCGAAAAUGUUGUCUCUCUUGAGUGGAUCCUGAGUACGACGGAGCACGUGAAAUUCCGUCGGAAUCUGGGACACCAUCUCCUAAGGCUAAAUACUCUCUAGUGACCGAUAGUGAACCAGUACCGUGAGGGAAAGGUGAAAAGCACCCCGGAAGGGGAGUGAAAUAGAACCUGAAACCGUGUGCUUACAAGUAGUCAGAGCCCGUUAAUGGGUGAUGGCGUGCCUUUUGUAGAAUGAACCGGCGAGUUACGAUUUGAUGCAAGGUUAAGCAGUAAAUGUGGAGCCGUAGCGAAAGCGAGUCUGAAUAGGGCGUUUAGUAUUUGGUCGUAGACCCGAAACCAGGUGAUCUACCCUUGGUCAGGUUGAAGUUCAGGUAACACUGAAUGGAGGAUCGAACCGACUUACGUUGAAAAGUGAGCGGAUGAACUGAGGGUAGCGGAGAAAUUCCAAUCGAACCUGGAGAUAGCUGGUUCUCUCCGAAAUAGCUUUAGGGCUAGCCUCAAGUGAUGAUUAUUGGAGGUAGAGCACUGUUUGGACGAGGGGCCCCUCUCGGGUUACCGAAUUCAGACAAACUCCGAAUGCCAAUUAAUUUAACUUGGGAGUCAGAACAUGGGUGAUAAGGUCCGUGUUCGAAAGGGAAACAGCCCAGACCACCAGCUAAGGUCCCAAAAUAUAUGUUAAGUGGAAAAGGAUGUGGCGUUGCCCAGACAACUAGGAUGUUGGCUUAGAAGCAGCCAUCAUUUAAAGAGUGCGUAAUAGCUCACUAGUCGAGUGACACUGCGCCGAAAAUGUACCGGGGCUAAACAUAUUACCGAAGCUGUGGAUUGUCCUUUGGACAAUGGUAGGAGAGCGUUCUAAGGGCGUUGAAGCAUGAUCGUAAGGACAUGUGGAGCGCUUAGAAGUGAGAAUGCCGGUGUGAGUAGCGAAAGACGGGUGAGAAUCCCGUCCACCGAUUGACUAAGGUUUCCAGAGGAAGGCUCGUCCGCUCUGGGUUAGUCGGGUCCUAAGCUGAGGCCGACAGGCGUAGGCGAUGGAUAACAGGUUGAUAUUCCUGUACCACCUAUAAUCGUUUUAAUCGAUGGGGGGACGCAGUAGGAUAGGCGAAGCGUGCGAUUGGAUUGCACGUCUAAGCAGUAAGGCUGAGUAUUAGGCAAAUCCGGUACUCGUUAAGGCUGAGCUGUGAUGGGGAGAAGACAUUGUGUCUUCGAGUCGUUGAUUUCACACUGCCGAGAAAAGCCUCUAGAUAGAAAAUAGGUGCCCGUACCGCAAACCGACACAGGUAGUCAAGAUGAGAAUUCUAAGGUGAGCGAGCGAACUCUCGUUAAGGAACUCGGCAAAAUGACCCCGUAACUUCGGGAGAAGGGGUGCUCUUUAGGGUUAACGCCCAGAAGAGCCGCAGUGAAUAGGCCAAGCGACUGUUUAUCAAAAACACAGGUCUCUGCUAAACCGUAAGGUGAUGUAUAGGGGCUGACGCCUGCCCGGUGCUGGAAGGUUAAGAGGAGUGGUUAGCUUCUGCGAAGCUACGAAUCGAAGCCCCAGUAAACGGCGGCCGUAACUAUAACAUCCUAAGGUAGCGAAAUUCCUUGUCGGGUAAGUUCCGACCCGCACGAAAGGCGUAACGAUUUGGGCACUGUCUCAACGAGAGACUCGGUGAAAUCAUAGUACCUGUGAAGAUGCAGGUUACCCGCGACAGGACGGAAAGACCCCGUGGAGCUUUACUGUAGCCUGAUAUUGAAAUUCGGCACAGCUUGUACAGGAUAGGUAGGAGCCUUUGAAACGUGAGCGCUAGCUUACGUGGAGGCGCUGGUGGGAUACUACCCUAGCUGUGUUGGCUUUCUAACCCGCACCACUUAUCGUGGUGGGAGACAGUGUCAGGCGGGCAGUUUGACUGGGGCGGUCGCCUCCUAAAAGGUAACGGAGGCGCUCAAAGGUUCCCUCAGAAUGGUUGGAAAUCAUUCAUAGAGUGUAAAGGCAUAAGGGAGCUUGACUGCGAGACCUACAAGUCGAGCAGGGUCGAAAGACGGACUUAGUGAUCCGGUGGUUCCGCAUGGAAGAGCCAUCGCUCAACGGAUAAAAGCUACCCCGGGGAUAACAGGCUUAUCUCCCCCAAGAGUUCACAUCGACGGGGAGGUUUGGCACCUCGAUGUCGGCUCAUCGCAUCCUGGGGCUGUAGUCGGUCCCAAGGGUUGGGCUGUUCGCCCAUUAAAGCGGUACGCGAGCUGGGUUCAGAACGUCGUGAGACAGUUCGGUCCCUAUCCGUCGUGGGCGUAGGAAAUUUGAGAGGAGCUGUCCUUAGUACGAGAGGACCGGGAUGGACAUACCUCUGGUGUACCAGUUGUCGUGCCAACGGCAUAGCUGGGUAGCUAUGUGUGGACGGGAUAAGUGCUGAAAGCAUCUAAGCAUGAAGCCCCCUCAAGAUGAGAUUUCCCAACUUCGGUUAUAAGAUCCCUCAAAGAUGAUGAGGUUAAUAGGUUCGAGGUGGAAGCAUGGUGACAUGUGGAGCUGACGAAUACUAAUCGAUCGAAGACUUAAUCAA